ACUCGAUGGGAGCCACUAGAGGGAAUAAGAUGUUCUCCUGCUGUAUCCCGACUUUCUGAGGCUCUGACUCCAGGAAAGCCCGGCACGAGGGCCUUUUCCAUUGCUGCAGGCUUUUUGGCUCAGCACUCACUUUUGGCACCUCUGGCCAUUUGGCAGGAAGUACCCAAAGUGAUGGCCAGGCAGGGCCCUGAUGUCUGAUGAUCUGGCUGCCGAGCAUCAUUUGUGCAGAGCUCCAUGUGAGAGAUCAGUGAGGAGCUGGUUGAUGGGUUCAACUCCUCCAUCUUCCUAGACAAGGGUUGUCUGCUCGUGUUCUUGUUGCCGUGACAGCCCUUCUCGCACCCUGGAACCUCCAGGCAUUCGCCCCUUUGCUGGAUCUGGGAUCCUCAUAGCUCAGGUUCUCAAGACUGCCUUUAUUGUAAAAGAAAGAAAAUUAAGUGCCUUGCUUUGAAGUCUAAAGGACUCUCCUAGGGUGGGUGUUGUAGUCCAUUUUGUGCUGCUGCAACAAAACACCAUAGACUGGGUAAUUUAUAUUGUACAGAAAUUUAUUUCUCACAGUUUUGGAGGCUGGGAAGUCCACAGUCAAGAUGCUGGCAUCUGGUGAGGGCCUUCUUGCUGCAUCAUCCCAUGGCGGAAGGCUUCACAGGGCAGAAGGGCAAAGAGAGAGUGAGAGACAGCAAGAGGGGGCAGACCCACCUCCACGAUACUCACAUUAAUCUACCCAUGGUGGUAGAGCUCUCAUGACCUAAACACCUCUUAAAGGUCCCAUCUCCCAAUAUGGUCACAAUGGCAACUACACUUCAACAUGAGUUUUAGAGAAGACAAACAUGCACACCAUAGCAGUGGAUCCACACUGUAAACUGGUCUCUCAACUUGGUGGGGGCAGUGGGGUGGGGAAUGAGGUUCCCCCAGAUCCUCUCCCUCCAUGCCAGAAGAAGACUAAGCUUCAGGUAGCUUAGGGGGAAGGUGAUGCGGCCCUAGCUUUGGGCAGUUCUUAGUUCUGUCUUGUGUGACCUUGAGCAGCCAUUUGACAUCCCUAAGCCUCUGUUUUCCAUCUCAACAAUGGGGAUUUUUUUAGGACGCACUAGAGUGAUGCUCUUCAUACAAGCUCUUAAUAGGGGAAUGCUAACCUCUCUUGCUGUGGGCACUCACAUCCCUCUUCACACACAAGUCCCCAAGGAGUUGGGGCUUCCUGGUCUGAGCUCUAGCUCACGAUUCUCCUGGUGGUUUUUGGUGCUGCCUCUGACUCUGUGUCCUUCCUUGUCCCACUCAGUAUAAAAAUGAGUUAACCCUGCACCUGGGCGAGAUCUGCACAAUGUGGACCCUCCAGGUGGGCACUCAGGAGCAUAUGGUGGCAUCCCUGGACCAGGCUUCCAGAGCAGACACAUACCCUACAGCACCACCUUCCUGGGAAACCACUGGUUCUUCGUCUCUACCCCACAGUUCCUGGACUGGGUAUUCAAUAGGUGGGAGCCUGUCCCUUCGACAGCACAGUGGGGACUCUGCCACCAGCUAGCUGUGUGUCUCAGGAAUUUUGCUGCACCUCUCUUAGCCUCAAUUUGCUCCUCUGAGAAGAAAGGUGAUACACAUGCAUCCUGCCAUAUUCUGACAGAGAUGAUGGACCUCAGGAUCAACUAAAAAUGUCAGUGGACUUCAGGUCUAGAAGGACAGGCUCCUGUUUCCCCAGAACAGUUGGGGGCAUAUGGGAGUCUGUGGCUGGGGAGGGGCUGGCAGAACCCUGGAUCUCAUACAUCUUAGGAUUCCCAUGAGAGGGCUGAGGUCUGGGGGCUUCCUCUGCAGGAGGAAAUUAGUUAGUGAGAGUUAUGGAUAGGAUCCAAGUCCCCUGGGAAGUGAAAGGGAGGCUGGGGCUCAGAGCCAUCCCCACCACAGUCCCAUCCCAGCUCUGCCCGCCUCCUUCCACAUCCACCCCUCCAGACCCAACCUCUAGGGGACCUAGAACAGGAGCUGUAGUGAGCAACCCGCUCACACUUCUACCUCAAACCUCAUUCCUGGUGCAGGUAGCCCUUCAGAGCAAGAGUCACUGGCAAGACCCAGCCCAUGUAGGUUCUAUGCCUGCCCUGCCUGAAGACCAGGGCUGUCUCUGCCAGGACAGUCACAGAGGGGUUGGGUGGGGCCGUCUCUGGACAGGCAGGGCAGGCACAGGGGCCCACAUCCAAACAAGGUGCCCUAGAAGAGCAAUGUGGAAGGAAAGGCCAGGUAUGUGACUCUGCUGCCCCCCACCCCCACCCCCUAACACUAUCUCUUCUAUCCUGGGCACCUGGCCAGAAAAGUACCCUGAGGGCACUCCGGGGAAGGAGCCUGCUCCAGUGACAGCCCAAGAUAGAAUCAGUCCCAGAGCACUCCUGCCCCUAGCCUGGGACCAUACAGAACUGGCCCAGUGAGGAGGUCCCCAGCCUCCUGGGGGAUUCUUUCCUAUGCUGGUGGCAGAGCAAUUGACUCUGAUGGAUGCAAUGAGCGCUGGGCUCUCAGGGCAGGGUUGGGACAGCCUCCCCUCUGGGACCUUUCCCUGAGCCUCAGUCGAAUGAUGCGGGCCCAAUCCCAUCUCCACCUCUUACCAACCAUAUGGCCUGGACUAGAUUCUUAACCUCCAGACCUUCACUGUCCACAUGUACAGGGCAGAGAUGGGACAUAACAGCACCUGCCACACACAGUGACUGUGCAGAAUGAGAGGAGAGAGGGAAGGCAGGUCAGGGCCUGGUCCCUUUGUAGGUGGAGGGUGCUCACUGAGGAGCAGCCAGGUGCAUGGGUUGCCCACUUGUGCUCAGGAAACCUCACCCACCUCAGCCCUUAUUAGGCACCUAAUGUGGAUUCUAAGACAGACACUGAAACAAAGCUGCCCCUGGGGAAGACGACAUGUAUCCAAAUGGGGAGACAGACUAGAUGGCUGAUCAAGAAGGAGACAGAUGCCAUCUGGGGAGGGACAGGCAUAAGCCACUUUCUGGUGCUUGGAGUUAGUGAGGAAGGGCUGAGUGAAAAUGCCACUCUCCUGUGCCUACCAAUAUUGGGUCCUGGGUCAUCAUGUGCUGGGUGCCCUCAGUGAACCACCAUGUGAUGCAGAGACCAGAGAGUGAAGGCCCGGGCCGGCGCAGGGUGGUGCAACUUUGAAUCGAGGUGGCCAAGGUUUGCUGUGGGAGGCCCAGGGAGCUCCCGUCUGUGUCCCCUUCCAAAUCUCAUCUUGAAUUCCCACGUGUUGUGGGAGGGACCCAGUGGGAGGUAACUGAAUCAUGGGGGCAGGUCUUUCUGUGCUGUUCUCGUGACAGUAAGUCUCACGAGAUCUGAUGGUUAUUAUAAGGGGGAGCUUUUCCUGCACAAGCUCUUUUUGCCUGCUGCCAUCCAUGUAAGAUGUGACUUGCUUCUCGUCUUCCACCAUGAUUGUGAGGCUUCCCCAGCCACCAACCAUGUGGAACUGUAAGUUUAAUUAAACCUCUUUCUUUUGUAAA
This 3458-nucleotide long non-coding RNA is filed under the name Homo sapiens (human). RNAcentral's name for it is "non-protein coding lnc-TSTD2-4:3". The record is from RNAcentral. Lineage: Eukaryota; Metazoa; Chordata; Mammalia; Primates; Hominidae.